Molecule: long non-coding RNA, 1615 nt
Organism: Aedes albopictus (Asian tiger mosquito)
Lineage: Eukaryota; Metazoa; Arthropoda; Insecta; Diptera; Culicidae
Exons: 2
Source: RefSeq, a predicted model, not a curated record
UUAAUUUUUUUUUUUUUUUCAAAGUGAUUACGGCGGUAGCAACACUGUGCUUAUGUUCUACACCGCACCCUUUCCCUACAUUUGCUUCUAGGAGCCUCUAUUUUUGUUUCAACACACAGAAGUACGUAGGCAUGCGUGGCCCAAGUCGACACUGUUUUGGCCUGCGUUGAACAAAAAUAGUUUCAAUAAAAGUUUCCCCUUUUUUCUUUUUGUCAAUUGUUUUUUUUUUGUGGUAUGGUCCAUGUAUUUAGUUAGGUUCUUGUCAAUUUGUCAGUUAUUCGAAGUAGAUCUCCAAUAUGUAGUCAAUAAGUCAAUUAAGUCAUUCUGAUCUGUUCUAUCAUAGCAGCUUUAGUCUUUGUUUUAUUGAAGUGUAGUUUUAUUGGAAAUAUGCUGAAUAUCGUUAUUAAGAAGAGACGUCUGGAACUGUGUCCUGCUAGUUGUUCCGUCAUGCACUAAUAAUGCCUAGGAGAUUAACGAAAACACGAACACACGUGUCAGAUGUCCAUUGCGUAGAAAGUCAAGGAAAAUAGGUUUCUUUAUUGUCAGUUGUUAUGUAAGCCUCGCUUGAAGCACUUCCCGUGAGAACCCUGUCAUCUGUACACCAACUAAUCCGUAUCUUCGUACACAGCUAAAUACUAUACUGCCAACCGGCGCAAAGCCUAUGGAUACCCCACGGAAUUGAUGAGUAGUGAGUUCAAUGCAGAGAUCCCCCCCCUCACUCUCCCAAAUUGUGGUAGGCCCCCGCUAAACCUGCAAACCAGAGCCACUCCCAGCCAAAAGCUCUAGCAAAUGUGGACAAACCGGUGCUCAACGUGCUCUCCCAUAGUGGCAACAUCAAAUAUGUGGACUGUACAACAAUAGUAGUUUUAAUGAAAUGAAUACUAAGAAUUUAGGCCGACACUCGAAGUGACGAACUUUACAGUGCUAGUUGAGUAAAUACACGAAAGAUGGGUAACAACAAAUGUGCACAAACAGAUGCAUAACAAUAUGCAUGCAAAAAAGGCCGCAACUAUCCAUGGUGAAUUUAAAAUAAUGACAGCGUAAAUAUAAUGGAACAGACUCACCGAAUUUAGCUCCAAAAUGCCCCCUAGACGAUGGUAUUGUUCAUACUCUUUGUAGCCACGCGUUGUAGAAAAUGAACCUGAAAUGACAAGAAGACAGUGGGCCGCCAAACUCCACAAAAUGGCGGCCCGGAAAUUUUAGUAUUCUGUUUAUAGCAUUGUUGAGCAUCAUAGAGAGCAUAAUUUAUAUUCAGUUUUAAAUAUAGUUUCUUGUUACUAUGCUAAGAAAUAGAGAGAUUCAAAAGUUUUUUUUUCUACCUGCACCAGUGAACUUCUUGAGUGAACAGCAUUCAACAUCUAAAAUUUAGAUUCUAAAUUGUUCAUUCACUAAUGCGAUUUUCUUAUCACCCUGCCCUGUCUUAAUUAGAAGAUAUAAGUAAUGCAGAGACAUCCCAUAUGCACUCUUGCAUUACAUAAUAAGGUUGGACCCUGCUGCAAUCAAUGUCGUUAUGCUAUCCACUCCUGAGUUUAUAGUUGCUAUAAAAAUAAUUUCGAAGAAGUGAAAAAGAAUAGUACGAAUCAACUUGUUAAUAAAAUGCUGCUACUAUUACUAU